GUAACAAGGUUUCCGUAGGUGAACCUGCGGAAGGAUCAUUACCGAGUGAGGGCCCUCUGGGUCCAACCUCCCACCCGUGUCUAUCGUACCUUGUUGCUUCGGCGGGCCCGCCGUUUCGACGGCCGCCGGGGAGGCCUUGCGCCCCCGGGCCCGCGCCCGCCGAAGACCCCAACAUGAACGCUGUUCUGAAAGUAUGCAGUCUGAGUUGAUUAUCGUAAUCAGUUAAAACUUUCAACAACGGAUCUCUUGGUUCCGGCAUCGAUGAAGAACGCAGCGAAAUGCGAUAAGUAAUGUGAAUUGCAGAAUUCAGUGAAUCAUCGAGUCUUUGAACGCACAUUGCGCCCCCUGGUAUUCCGGGGGGCAUGCCUGUCCGAGCGUCAUUGCUGCCCUCAAGCACGGCUUGUGUGUUGGGCCCCCGUCCCCCUCUCCCGGGGGACGGGCCCGAAAGGCAGCGGCGGCACCGCGUCCGGUCCUCGAGCGUAUGGGGCUUUGUCACCUGCUCUGUAGGCCCGGCCGGCGCCAGCCGACACCCAACUUUAUUUUUCUAAGGUUGACCUCGGAUCAGGUAGGGAUACCCGCUGAACUUAAGCAUAUCAAUAA
Molecule: unclassified non-coding RNA, 600 nt
Filed under: Aspergillus fumigatus
Lineage: Eukaryota; Fungi; Ascomycota; Eurotiomycetes; Eurotiales; Aspergillaceae
Description: sequence contains 18S rRNA gene, ITS1, 5.8S rRNA gene, ITS2, 28S rRNA gene
Rfam family: 5.8S ribosomal RNA (bases 227-380)
Source: RNAcentral